Molecule: ribosomal RNA, 460 nt
Filed under: uncultured bacterium
Lineage: Bacteria
Description: partial 16S ribosomal RNA
Rfam family: Bacterial small subunit ribosomal RNA
Source: RNAcentral
CCUACGGGUAGCUGCAGUUAGGAAUAUUUGUCCAUGGGCGAGAGCCUGAACCAGCCAAGUCGCGUGAAGGAUGACGGCCCUACGGGUUGUAAACUUCUUUUGUCAGGGAGCAAUUGAGUCCACGUGUGGGCUUAGCGAGAGUACCUGAAGAAAAAGCAUCGGCUAAUUCCGUGCCAGCAGCCGCGGUAAUACGGAGGAUGCGAGCGUUAUCCGGAUUUAGUGGGGUUCAAGGGUGCGUAGGCGGAAUAUCAAGUCAGCGGUAAUAAUUCGGGGCUCAACCCCGUCGUGCCGUUGAAACUGAUGUUCUUGAGUGGGCGAGAAGUAUGCGGAAUGCGUGGUGUAGCGGUGAAAUGCAUAGAUAUCACGCAGAACUCCGAUUGCGAAGGCAGCAUACCGGCGCCCAACUGACGCUGAAGCACGAAAGCGUGGGUAUCGAACAGGAUUAGAUACCCGAGUAGUC